Molecule: ribosomal RNA, 2921 nt
Filed under: Staphylococcus aureus
Lineage: Bacteria; Bacillati; Bacillota; Bacilli; Caryophanales; Staphylococcaceae
Description: 23S ribosomal RNA
Rfam family: Bacterial large subunit ribosomal RNA
Source: RNAcentral
UUAAGUUAUUAAGGGCGCACGGUGGAUGCCUUGGCACUAGAAGCCGAUGAAGGACGUUACUAACGACGAUAUGCUUUGGGGAGCUGUAAGUAAGCUUUGAUCCAGAGAUUUCCGAAUGGGGAAACCCAGCAUGAGUUAUGUCAUGUUAUCGAUAUGUGAAUACAUAGCAUAUCAGAAGGCACACCCGGAGAACUGAAACAUCUUAGUACCCGGAGGAAGAGAAAGAAAAUUCGAUUCCCUUAGUAGCGGCGAGCGAAACGGGAAGAGCCCAAACCAAAAAGCUUGCUUGUUGGGGUUGUAGGACACUCUAUACGGAGUUACAAAGGACGACAUUAGACGAAUCAUCUGGAAAGAUGAAUCAAAGAAGGUAAUAAUCCUGUAGUCGAAAAUGUUGUCUCUCUUGAGUGGAUCCUGAGUACGACGGAGCACGUGAAAUUCCGUCGGAAUCUGGGAGGACCAUCUCCUAAGGCUAAAUACUCUCUAGUGACCGAUAGUGAACCAGUACCGUGAGGGAAAGGUGAAAAGCACCCCGGAAGGGGAGUGAAAUAGAACCUGAAACCGUGUGCUUACAAGUAGUCAGAGCCCGUUAAUGGGUGAUGGCGUGCCUUUUGUAGAAUGAACCGGCGAGUUACGAUUUGAUGCAAGGUUAAGCAGUAAAUGUGGAGCCGUAGCGAAAGCGAGUCUGAAUAGGGCGUUUAGUAUUUGGUCGUAGACCCGAAACCAGGUGAUCUACCCUUGGUCAGGUUGAAGUUCAGGUAACACUGAAUGGAGGACCGAACCGACUUACGUUGAAAAGUGAGCGGAUGAACUGAGGGUAGCGGAGAAAUUCCAAUCGAACCUGGAGAUAGCUGGUUCUCUCCGAAAUAGCUUUAGGGCUAGCCUCAAGUGAUGAUUAUUGGAGGUAGAGCACUGUUUGGACGAGGGGCCCCUCUCGGGUUACCGAAUUCAGACAAACUCCGAAUGCCAAUUAAUUUAACUUGGGAGUCAGAACAUGGGUGAUAAGGUCCGUGUUCGAAAGGGAAACAGCCCAGACCACCAGCUAAGGUCCCAAAAUAUAUGUUAAGUGGAAAAGGAUGUGGCGUUGCCCAGACAACUAGGAUGUUGGCUUAGAAGCAGCCAUCAUUUAAAGAGUGCGUAAUAGCUCACUAGUCGAGUGACACUGCGCCGAAAAUGUACCGGGGCUAAACAUAUUACCGAAGCUGUGGAUUGUCCUUUGGACAAUGGUAGGAGAGCGUUCUAAGGGCGUUGAAGCAUGAUCGUAAGGACAUGUGGAGCGCUUAGAAGUGAGAAUGCCGGUGUGAGUAGCGAAAGACGGGUGAGAAUCCCGUCCACCGAUUGACUAAGGUUUCCAGAGGAAGGCUCGUCCGCUCUGGGUUAGUCGGGUCCUAAGCUGAGGCCGACAGGCGUAGGCGAUGGAUAACAGGUUGAUAUUCCUGUACCACCUAUAAUCGUUUUAAUCGAUGGGGGGACGCAGUAGGAUAGGCGAAGCGUGCGAUUGGAUUGCACGUCUAAGCAGUAAGGCUGAGUAUUAGGCAAAUCCGGUACUCGUUAAGGCUGAGCUGUGAUGGGGAGAAGACAUUGNGUCUUCGAGUCGUUGAUUUCACACUGCCGAGAAAAGCCUCUAGAUAGAAAAUAGGUGCCCGUACCGCAAACCGACACAGGUAGUCAAGAUGAGAAUUCUAAGGUGAGCGAGCGAACUCUCGUUAAGGAACUCGGCAAAAUGACCCCGUAACUUCGGGAGAAGGGGUGCUCUUUAGGGUUAACGCCCAGAAGAGCCGCAGUGAAUAGGCCCAAGCGACUGUUUAUCAAAAACACAGGUCUCUGCUAAACCGUAAGGUGAUGUAUAGGGGCUGACGCCUGCCCGGUGCUGGAAGGUUAAGAGGAGUGGUUAGCUUCUGCGAAGCUACGAAUCGAAGCCCCAGUAAACGGCGGCCGUAACUAUAACGGUCCUAAGGUAGCGAAAUUCCUUGUCGGGUAAGUUCCGACCCGCACGAAAGGCGUAACGAUUUGGGCACUGUCUCAACGAGAGACUCGGUGAAAUCAUAGUACCUGUGAAGAUGCAGGUUACCCGCGACAGGACGGAAAGACCCCGUGGAGCUUUACUGUAGCCUGAUAUUGAAAUUCGGCACAGCUUGUACAGGAUAGGUAGGAGCCUUUGAAACGUGAGCGCUAGCUUACGUGGAGGCGCUGGUGGGAUACUACCCUAGCUGUGUUGGCUUUCUAACCCGCACCACUUAUCGUGGUGGGAGACAGUGUCANGCGGGCAGUUUGACUGGGGCGGUCGCCUCCUAAAAGGUAACGGAGGCGCUCAAAGGUUCCCUCAGAAUGGUUGGAAAUCAUUCAUAGAGUGUAAAGGCAUAAGGGAGCUUGACUGCGAGACCUACAAGUCGAGCAGGGUCGAAAGACGGACUUAGUGAUCCGGUGGUUCCGCAUGGAAGGGCCAUCGCUCAACGGAUAAAAGCUACCCCGGGGAUAACAGGCUUAUCUCCCCCAAGAGUUCACAUCGACGGGGAGGUUUGGCACCUCGAUGUCGGCUCAUCGCAUCCUGGGGCUGUAGUCGGUCCCAAGGGUUGGGCUGUUCGCCCAUUAAAGCGGUACGCGAGCUGGGUUCAGAACGUCGUGAGACAGUUCGGUCCCUAUCCGUCGUGGGCGUAGGAAAUUUGAGAGGAGCUGUCCUUAGUACGAGAGGACCGGGAUGGACAUACCUCUGGUGUACCAGUUGUCGUGCCAACGGCAUAGCUGGGUAGCUAUGUGUGGACGGGAUAAGUGCUGAAAGCAUCUAAGCAUGAAGCCCCCCUCAAGAUGAGAUUUCCCAACUUCGGUUAUAAGAUCCCUCAAAGAUGAUGAGGUUAAUAGGUUCGAGGUGGAAGCAUGGUGACAUGUGGAGCUGACGAAUACUAAUCGAUCGAAGACUUAAUCAA